UACGUAGGUCCCGAGCGUUGUCCGGAUUUAUUGGGCGUAAAGCGAGCGCAGGUGGUUUAUUAAGUCUGAUGUAAAAGGCAGUGGCUCAACCAUUGUAUGCAUUGGAAACUGGUAGACUUGAGUGCAGGAGAGGAGAGUGGAAUUCCAUGUGUAGCGGUGAAAUGCGUAGAUAUAUGGAGGAACACCGGUGGCGAAAGCGGCUCUCUGGCCUGUAACUGACACUGAGGCUCGAAAGCGUGGGGAACAAACAGG
This 252-nucleotide ribosomal RNA is filed under the name uncultured bacterium. RNAcentral's name for it is "partial 16S ribosomal RNA". It matches the Rfam family "Bacterial small subunit ribosomal RNA", at positions 524 to 776 of the family's 1533-position model. The record is from RNAcentral.